This 420-nucleotide long non-coding RNA is filed under the name Medicago truncatula (barrel medic). RNAcentral's name for it is "long non-coding RNA (MTRU_LNC007458)". The record is from RNAcentral. Lineage: Eukaryota; Viridiplantae; Streptophyta; Magnoliopsida; Fabales; Fabaceae.
CAAAUUCUUUUUACACUCACAUCCAACGAGAUUAUUAAUUCUCAAUGUCAUAGAAUCGGUUUCAAAGUAGUCAUGCAAAAGGGAUGAUAUGAAUAGUAGAUUCUAAUUGAAUGCAAAUGUAAAAUAUGAUGGCGUAAAAAGGAAGAAGAAACAUCUCUCAUAAAAAGGAAGUAAGAUUUGAACACACGAAGGAGAAAAAGGAAUUGAAGCGUUAACGCAUUAGUGCAUAAAUGAUAGAGUAAAAAUGACAUAUGACUCAUUUAAGUGAUGUAUUAACAUCAAUCAUUCAUUUUAAUCUAAGGGCUACCAUUUAUUAUUAUUGUUCUCAAAUAAAGACAACAUUCUCCCUUGAUAGGUCCUUUAUACAAUACUCCAUCCGUUCCAUAAUAUAAGAAAAAAAAAAACACAUUUUCUUUGUCC